Molecule: ribosomal RNA, 502 nt
Filed under: uncultured bacterium
Lineage: Bacteria
Description: partial 16S ribosomal RNA
Rfam family: Bacterial small subunit ribosomal RNA
Source: RNAcentral
GACGAACGCUGGCGGCGUGCUUAACACAUGCAAGUCGAACGGUGAAGCGCUUUCCUUUUUGGUUGGUGUGGAUGAGUGGCGAACGGGUGAGUAACACGUGAGUACCUGCCCCCUUCUUCUGGAUAACCGCAUGAAAGUGUGGCUAAUACGGGAUAUUCUGCGCCUGCUGCAUGGUGGGUGUGGGAAAGAUUGUGCCUUUGGGUGUUUUCGGUGGGGGAUGGGCUCGCGGCCUAUCAGCUUGUUGGUGGGGUGAUGGCCUACCAAGGCGGUGACGGGUAGCCGGCCUGAGAGGGUGGACGGUCACACUGGGACUGAGACACGGCCCAGACUCCUACGGGAGGCAGCAGUGGGGAAUAUUGCACAAUGGGCGCAAGCCUGAUGCAGCGACGCCGCGUGAGGGAGGGAGGCCUUCGGGUUGUGAACCUCUUUCGCCAGUGAAGCAGGCCUGCUCCUUGUGGGUGGGUUGACGGUAGCUGGAUAAGAAGCGCCGGCUAACUACGUG